This 244-nucleotide long non-coding RNA is filed under the name Mytilus galloprovincialis (Mediterranean mussel). Lineage: Eukaryota; Metazoa; Mollusca; Bivalvia; Mytilida; Mytilidae. The record is from RNAcentral.
GAACGAACAAUACAGUAAGAGAAAAUUUAUUUACUAUGAUAUUGCGUUUAUUCUUAGUUCUAUGGAACAUUUGAAGGCACGUAGUAAUUCAAUGUAUAGUUAUUUAUUAUUUCUUAAGGUAUUAAUACGCAAAGGUGUAUGCACGAAAAGAUAUUCAGCAUUGUUUACCUCAUAAAACGUAUGAAAUUGCACCAUGUCUGUGCGUUUUGCAUCUAGCAGUUUUAUCAAACGUUCUAUGUAAUAU